GACGAACGCUGGCGGCGUGCUUAACACAUGCAAGUCGAACGGAAAGGCCCUGCUUGCAGGGUACUCGAGUGGCGAACGGGUGAGUAACACGUGGGUGAUCUGCCCUGCACUUCGGGAUAAGCCUGGGAAACUGGGUCUAAUACCGGAUAGGAGCCAUUUUUAGUGUGAUGGUUGGAAAGUUUUUUCGGUGUAGGAUGAGCUUGCGGCCUAUCAGCUUGUUGGUGGGGUAAUGGCCUACCAAGGCGGCGACGGGUAGCCGGCCUGAGAGGGUGGACGGCCACAUUGGGACUGAGAGACGGCCCAGGCUCCUACGGGAGGCAGCAGUGGGGAAUAUUGCACAAUGGGCGCAAGCCUGGUGCAGCGACGCCGCGGGGGGGAUGACGGCCUUCGGGUUGUAAACUCCUUUCGCUAGGGACGAAGCUUUUUGUGACGGUACCUAGAUAAGAAGCACCGGCUAACUACGUG
Molecule: ribosomal RNA, 465 nt
Filed under: uncultured bacterium
Lineage: Bacteria
Description: partial 16S ribosomal RNA
Rfam family: Bacterial small subunit ribosomal RNA
Source: RNAcentral